Molecule: ribosomal RNA, 274 nt
Filed under: uncultured bacterium
Lineage: Bacteria
Description: partial 16S ribosomal RNA
Rfam family: Bacterial small subunit ribosomal RNA
Source: RNAcentral
AUACGGAGGGUGCAAGCGUUAUUCGGAAUCACUGGGCGUAAAGGGUGCGUAGGCGGUUUGAUAAGUCUGAUGUGAAAUCCUAUGGCUCAACCAUAGAACUGCAUUGGAAACUGUCAGACUAGAAUACUGAAGGGGCAGAUGGAAUUAGUGGUGUAGGGGUAAAAUCCGUAGAUAUCACUAGGAAUACCGAAAGCGAAAGCGAUCUGCUGGGAAGUUAUUGACGCUGAGGCACGAAAGCGUGGGGAGCAAACAGGAUUAGAAACCCUUGUAGUCC